GCGUGAGUGAAGAAGGCCUUAGGGUUGUAAAGCUCUUUCACCGGGGACGAUGAUGACGGUACCCGGAGAAGAAGCCCCGGCUAACUCCGUGCCAGCAGCCGCGGUAAUACGGAGGGGGCUAGCGUUGUUCGGAAUCACUGGGCGUAAAGCGCGCGUAGGCGGCGCGAUGAAGUCGGGCGUGAAAGCCCGGGGCUCAACCCCGGAACUGCGCUCGAUACUGGCGUGCUGGAGGACGGGAGAGGAGAGUGGAAUUCCCAGUGUAGAGGUGAAAUUCGU
Molecule: ribosomal RNA, 276 nt
Filed under: uncultured bacterium
Lineage: Bacteria
Description: partial 16S ribosomal RNA
Rfam family: Bacterial small subunit ribosomal RNA
Source: RNAcentral